GUAAGGAAUAUUGGUCAAUGGGCGCAAGCCUGAACCAGCCAUCCUGCGUGCAGGAAGAAGGCCCUAUGGGUUGUAAACUGCUUUUGUCAGGGAAUAAACCUGUGGAUUUAUCCGCAGCUGAAGGUACCUGAAGAAUAAGCACCGGCUAACUCCGUGCCAGCAGCCGCGGUAAUACGGAGGGUGCAAGCGUUAUCCGGAAUUACUGGGUUUAAAGGGUGCGUAGGCGGCCCUGUAAGUCAGGAGUGAAAGUUUGCGGCUUAACCGUAAAAUUGCUUUUGAUACUGCAGGGCUAGAAUCAGGAUGAGGUCAGCGGAAUGUGGCAUGUAGCGGUGAAAUGCAUAGAUAUGCCAUAGAACACCAAUUGCGAAGGCAGCUGGCUAGACCUGCAUUGACGCUGAGGCACGAAAGCGUGGGGAGCGAACAGGAUUAGAAACCCCAGUAGUCC
This 445-nucleotide ribosomal RNA is filed under the name uncultured bacterium. Its description in RNAcentral is "bacterial SSU rRNA". It matches the Rfam family "Bacterial small subunit ribosomal RNA", at positions 354 to 796 of the family's 1533-position model. The record is from RNAcentral.